GCUAGCAAUGUGCCACGACGGUUCAGCCGUUUUGGGCGGUGAGGUGGCUGCUGUCGGAUCCGAAGGACCGCUGUAGUCGUCGUCGCUGUCCGAAAUGCGGUGCACUCUUUCGUGGUACGCGUCAGCGUCGGUUCGCAGCGGGCGAUAAGGCCUUGUGGAAGGUAGCUAGGGGCCUUGCCCCUAGUGUUAUAGACGCAGGAGCUGGGCUCGCUGCGGACCGAGGAGAGAGAGUAUCGUUGCAGCGCAUGCCGCAAGGCUAGCUACCUGCCGUCUGUCUCGCUUCACGGACUGAGGACUGCACGCAGUGCUCGGAUUGGCGGAGUGGUCCGGCGGUGGAGUGGUAUAAAUGCGCUCAGGACGCUGGCGUCCAAAUGGCCGUGCGCGACCCGUCUUGAAACACGGACCAAGGAGUCUAACAUGUGCGCGAGUCUUUGGGUGGAAAAACCCGUGGGCGCAAUGAAAGUGAAGGCCUCUCACGAGGCUGAGGUGAGAGCUGGUGCUGCGGUGCCAGUGCAUCAUCGACCGGUCCAGUCUUCUCCAAGGCGGAUCCGAGUAAGAGCGUAUUUGUUGGGACCCGAAAGAUGGUGAACUAUGCCUGAAUAGGGUGAAGCCAGAGGAAACUCUGGUGGAGGCUCGUAGCGAUUCUGACGUGCAAAUCGAUCGUCAAAUUUGGGUAUAGGGGCGAAAGACUAAUCGAACCAUCUAGUAGCUGGUUCCCUCCGAAGUUUCCCUCAGGAUAGCUGGAACUCGUAACACAGUUUUAUCAGGUAAAGCGAAUGAUUAGAGGUCUUGGGGGUGAAACACCCUCAACCUAUUCUCAAACUUUAAAUAGGUAAGAAGCGUGACUUGCUUGACUGAAGCCACGCGUUUCAAUGUGAGUUCCAAGUGGGCCAUUUUUGGUAAGCAGAACUGGCGAUGCGGGAUGAACCGAACGCUCGGUUAAGGUGCCUAAGUCGACGCUCAUCAGACCCCAGAAAAGGUGUUGGUUGAUAUAGACAGCAGGACGGUGGCCAUGGAAGUCGGAAUCCGCUAAGGAGUGUGUAACAACUCACCUGCCGAAUCAACUAGCCCUGAAAAUGGAUGGCGCUCAAGCGUCGCACCUAUACCGGGCCGUUGCUGUAAAUGCCAUGCGGCAACGAGUAGGAGGGCGCGGCGGUCGUGACGCAGCCUUUGGCGUGAGCCUGGGUCAAACGGCCGCUGGUGCAGAUCUUGGUGGUAGUAGCAAAUAUUCAAAUGAGAGCUUUGAAGACCGAAGUGGAGAAAGGUUCCAUGUGAACAGCAGUUGGACAUGGGUUAGUCGAUCCUAAGAGAUAGGGGAGCUCCGUUCUGAAGUGUGCGACCUCGCACCGCCUAUCGAAAGGGAAUCGGGUUAAUAUUCCCGAACCAGAACGCGGAUAUUGGCUUUCGGGUCAGGAGCGGCAACGCAACCGAACUGGGAGACGUUGGCGGGAGCUCCGGGAAGAGUUUUCUUUUCUUUUUAACGAGCYAUCACCCUGGAAUCGGUUUGCCCGGAGAUAGGGUUCACUGGCUCGGUAAAGCAAAACACUUCUUGUUUUGUCCGGUGCGCUCCCGACGGCCCUUGAAAAUCCCAGGGAGUGAUUAAUUUUCGUGUCUGGUCGUACUCAUAACCGCAGCAGGUCUCCAAGGU
RNAcentral lists this ribosomal RNA (1648 nucleotides) under Leucetta villosa. RNAcentral's name for it is "eukaryotic LSU rRNA". It matches the Rfam family "Eukaryotic large subunit ribosomal RNA", at positions 428 to 1874 of the family's 3401-position model. Lineage: Eukaryota; Metazoa; Porifera; Calcarea; Clathrinida; Leucettidae. The record is from RNAcentral.